AACGAACGCUGGCGGCAUGCCUAACACAUGCAAGUCGAACGAGACCUUCGGGUCUAGUGGCGCACGGGUGCGUAACGCGUGGGAACCUGCCCUUAGGUUCGGAAUAACUCCCCGAAAGGGGUGCUAAUACCGGAUAAUGUCUUCGGACCAAAGAUUUAUCGCCUUUGGAUGGGCCCGCGUUGGAUUAGCUAGUUGGUAGGGUAAAAGCCUACCAAGGCGACGAUCCAUAGCUGGUCUGAGAGGAUGAUCAGCCACACUGGGACUGAGACACGGCCCAGACUCCUACGGGAGGCAGGAGUGGGGAAUAUUGGACAAUGGGCGAAAGCCUGAUCCAGCAAUGCCGCGUGAGUGAUGAAGGCCUUAGGGUUGUAAAGCUCUUUUACCCGGGAUGAUAAUGACAGUACCGGGAGAAUAAGCCCCGGCUAACUCCGUG
Molecule: ribosomal RNA, 433 nt
Filed under: uncultured bacterium
Lineage: Bacteria
Description: partial 16S ribosomal RNA
Rfam family: Bacterial small subunit ribosomal RNA
Source: RNAcentral